UCAAUCUCAAGAUUCUUCCAUGGCAACAAUAUCUAAUUCAACUACUAUAUUACAUGACAACCCAAGCAUCCUAAUUGAACUCAUCCCACUAUCUUAAUACAAGACCACCUCUUACCUUGCCUCCUUUGAAUCUCCUCUAUGACCACCACCACCACCAUGCUCCAUCACCAAACUCCCUACCAUACUAACCAACCAACUAAUCCAUCAUAAUGUACCCAUCCCAUGACCAUCCGAUCUCAA
RNAcentral lists this long non-coding RNA (240 nucleotides) under Phoenix dactylifera (date palm). RNAcentral's name for it is "long non-coding RNA (PDAC_LNC004368)". Lineage: Eukaryota; Viridiplantae; Streptophyta; Magnoliopsida; Arecales; Arecaceae. The record is from RNAcentral.